UGAGAUGAGGCUGGAAAGUGUGUAGGUC
Molecule: non-coding RNA, 28 nt
Filed under: Rattus norvegicus (Norway rat)
Lineage: Eukaryota; Metazoa; Chordata; Mammalia; Rodentia; Muridae
Source: RNAcentral